GCUUCUAACUGAAGAUACUACAGCAGACCAUAAGCUCCCUGCUGUCAUGGUCCCCCUGGAGGCUCCCACUGAUUGAACCCAGCUGCAGCCACUUCCAUCAUCAACCCCACAGUAUAUCAGAGGGCCAGUUUCCAGUAUUCAUCGCCAGAUCGUUGCCAACUAUGGACAAAGCUCUGCAACCAACCACCUGCCUGGGUCCAGUUUCCACCUCGUGCAUUCCAAGCCAUCAUCACGCCAAGCCCUCCAGCCUCGCCGUGCCACACGCCACACUCGACCACCGCUCCACCAGCAGCUCCCCGGGACCACCCCCUGAACAAGACCCCGCUACAAGAAGGAUACUUACCGCCAGUCCGCUCCUCGCCACAGAACUCCCGCUCCACGGAUUCCCGUUCAUCCUCGGCAAAUAAAAUCCUUCAUUGCCAA
Long non-coding RNA from Oryzias latipes (Japanese medaka), 423 nucleotides. RefSeq lists it as uncharacterized. NCBI's taxonomy places the organism in Eukaryota, Metazoa, Chordata, Actinopteri, Beloniformes, Adrianichthyidae. The record is from RefSeq and is a predicted model, not a curated record.